RNAcentral lists this ribosomal RNA (483 nucleotides) under uncultured bacterium. RNAcentral's name for it is "partial 16S ribosomal RNA". It matches the Rfam family "Bacterial small subunit ribosomal RNA", at positions 30 to 506 of the family's 1533-position model. The record is from RNAcentral.
AUUGAACGCUGGCGGCAGGCCUAACACUUGCAAGUCGAGCGGAUGAAGGGAGCUUGCUCCUGGAUUCAGCGGCGGACGGGUGAGUAAUGCCUAGGAAUCUGCCUGGUAGUGGGGGAUAACGUCCGGAAACGGGCGCUAAUACCGCUUACGUCCUGAGGGAGAAAGUGGGGGAUCUUCGGACCUCACGCUAUCAGAUGAGCCUAGGUCGGAUUAGCUAGUUGGUGGGGUAAAGGCCUACCAAGGCGACGAUCCGUAACUGGUCUGAGAGGAUGAUCAGUCACACUGGAACUGAGACACGGUCCAGACUCCUACGGGAGGCAGCAGUGGGGAAUAUUGGACAAUGGGCGAAAGCCUGAUCCAGCCAUGCCGCGUGUGUGAAGAAGGUCUUCGGAUUGUAAAGCACUUUAAGUUGGGAGGAAGGGCAGUAAGUUAAUACCUUGCUGUUUUGACGUUACCAACAGAAUAAGCACCGGCUAACUUCGU